Artibeus jamaicensis (Jamaican fruit-eating bat) is the source of this 2140-nucleotide long non-coding RNA. RefSeq lists it as uncharacterized. The transcript has 2 exons. The record is from RefSeq and is a predicted model, not a curated record. Lineage: Eukaryota; Metazoa; Chordata; Mammalia; Chiroptera; Phyllostomidae.
CUCCAUGUUACAGAACUAAGAAAAGGGUCCACAGUUCAGAGUGAGACUGACAAGUAAACAACCCAAAAGCUUCAGGUGGCAGAGAGAGGGGCAGCAGCUUAAAGAAGAAUGUGGUUUGAGGUCAUCAGCGGUGCACAGAAGCCACUCCCUACUGAGUUCCUCUUAUCAGCUCUCAGUCUCCACAGAACUGGGUCUCACCACUACAUCUCCCCAGUCCCACUGAGAGGGACCCUCAAAAUUAUCUGGUUUAGAAGGUAGCCUUUGUUCUAUAUUUCCUCUAUUUCCCCCAGCCCUGCCACUGACCCUCUAUUUUACUCUCUUUUCCCUAUUCUGCCCUCCCAGACUGGCUCUGAGUCAAACUGAUAAUGUCUUUUACUGGACUUGGUUGUAAGAAUAGCGGAAUGUUGUUUUUCCACAGCAUGCCUUAUUUCCUGAAAUUUCUAUAUAUCCCUAGGAUUUACACUGUUACAUCGUUAAAUAGAACCUCCUCUACAACCCUUUUCCAGCUGCUUUCUUUCUUGCUGCUUCCUGCCCCAGAGACCGGAAGGCCCUGUCUACAGGGUCUAACACCCCCCCAUGCAGCUCCAGAGACUUGGUGAGUGGGCCCUCAUCAACGAAAUAAAUAUGGCCCUGGCCGUAUAGCUCAGUUGGUUGGAGCAUCAUCUCAUACCCCAAAAGGUUGGGGAUUCAAGUUCUGAUCAGGGCACAUACAGGAGGCAGCUGAUGGAUGUUUCCCUCUCUCUCUGUGUCUCUCUCUCUUCCCUCACCUCUUCUCUCUCUAAAAUCAGUUAACAUAUUUUAUAAAAUUUUAAAAAUGAGAUAAAUGUGGAAAUGUAUUGCAGAUGACUCUGGACGCUUUUGCUUCCCUUGAAAAAAGAGACAGACUUGACCCGAUGGGCUCUCUUCCCUUCCCCCGUCCCCCUGCCUCAAAGGCAGAUGUGAUAGCAUGAGGGGAAGUCCAAGAGAACUGCAGAGACCCCACCGCUGACCACCUGCACUGCCCACUGCUGGGCUGGUUUUCACAUGAGAAAAACAAAUCCCUCUUUGAUAGUUUUCUGUUCCUUGGAUUUUCUGAUACUUAGAGCCUCAAGUAUACCAGAAAGAAAGAUGCCCCAAUAACUAGUCUUUCCUCAGACUUAGAUCUCUUUAACUUGGCCAAUGAAUAAUGUGAGAUAAACUGAAGUUCCUUCUCCUAAUCCUCUGAUGUUGAAUAUAUAUUUUCAUCGUAAUCAAGAAAGGUAAAAUCAACUGUUACCUAGAUUCCAAAUGCUAAUGGAAAAAAUGUCUACUUCAUUUUCAUAAUUCUGCCCAUAAACCAUUGGCUAAUUAAUACUGCUUAGCAAUCCUUAUGUUCACCUCUGGUUAACUCCUUAUCUCAUUUCCUACAGUGACUAUUCUAAUAUUUUCUAAUAUCUUCAAGCCUCUAAUCACAGCCUCAUUCUUAGAAAAUGACACAGAUUUCUCAAAUUACUUCCCAGUUAUUUCAAGAUCGUCUCAGUUUUUCCUCCCCUGUCUUCAUGUAACAAACUUGAGUUAUGGGGGAAAAAUCCUUCUUGUUAAGAUUAACUCUUCUUAUGUAUGUGGUUAAAAACUUUUUUUUAAUUAAAUGCAUCAUAUGUAGGAAGGAGAGUAUAGAAACAUAUAUAGACAGUUAAAAAUAAUAAAUGCCUAUAUACCCCCACCUAGUUUAAGAAGAUAAUUAUUUUUAUUAUAAGAAUUCCUAUAAUCCCCCAAAAUAGAAGACCCCCUUCUCUUCCUCCACCCUAGAUAUAAACACUAUCCUUGCUUUUUGUUCACCAUUCUCUUGCUUUCCUUCAUCCUUGACCAAGUGUGCAUUCCUAAGCAAUACACAAGCUGAGCUCUGUAAGAAAACGACUUCUCCGGUACAAGAUAAAUGGAACUGUCUCUGGACCAUCUCAAGGAUCUUUUCUGGAUCUUCUCUGUGGACUCUCAAGCGUUCCUCUGAGGGAAUUCAUGGGCAAUUUAAUAAUGAGUCUUUGAAAACAAAGAUCUCAACAGAUUUGGAUCAUCUAACUGAGCUGAAAUGUGACCCGGGUUCGACAUGACAGCAGAAAUAUGGCUGGAGCUGCUUUUAAUUUUCGGCUUCCCCUUGCCUGCGGAAUAAAUUCCAACUUCCUUA